Felis catus (domestic cat) is the source of this 961-nucleotide long non-coding RNA. RefSeq lists it as uncharacterized. NCBI's taxonomy places the organism in Eukaryota, Metazoa, Chordata, Mammalia, Carnivora, Felidae. The transcript has 4 exons. The record is from RefSeq and is a predicted model, not a curated record.
CCCCCCCCCCAGCCCUGCACACACCCCGCCCUGCCCCCCUCCGUUUCCAUGGCAACAGCCUGAGCCGCCUCCUUCCUCACACAGGUGGGAGUCCCUGUGAAGGGAAGAAGGGAGAGGGUGUCUUUGUCACCGGGCUGCUGUCACAGAAUUACACAGAUGGGGCGGUUUGCAUCUCGCAGUCUGGAGGCUGAAGUCCAAGAACAAGGCGCUGGCAGGCACGGAUGCCAGACCAGUGUGGCUGGCAAAGGAAGGGCUGAGCGAGGGCUCCAACCUCCAGUUGCCCCAAGAAGUCUGUCAGGGAAAUAUUAACGCCAUCAACACACAUGGGAGUGAGUGGCGAGCCCAGCGGGACGUUUGCAUUGUGUUAAGCCUUAAGAUAAUGUGGUGUGUUGCUGCUCGGAAGAUAGAGCCUGGGGCACGUGGGAGACCACCAGGUGGAGACUGAGGAUCAAGUCAACAUACUACAAGUAGCAUGGACAGACAGAGAAACUGGGUUACUGUCAACAUUAUUCAAGCUGCUGGAUAGAGCCUCGCCUGAUUCCCACCUAUCAGCCCUUCCUCUGACAUCUCUAUUACGUGCACCCAUGAAUUCCUAUUAUUGUGUAAGCCAGUCUGAGCUCACUUAGGAGACACUGAACAAAGGAGGUGGUGCUCUGGAUGAGCAGUGUGUCCUGAGGUGAUAGAGUUACAGGCCAGGCCAGCAGCUGUUCACGGGUGAUGCGAGAGAAUGGGGAUCCAUGAGAGUGCUCCCAGCUAUCUGGUUUUACAACCCACUGAAGGGAGGAGGAGACAGGAGAGUCCUGCGGUAAAUAUUGGAUUCUUGAAAUUUAGGUGCCGCUCAAAUAGCCGGAGAGAUGUGGUAUUUGAACGCAUGGAUGUGUAUGUGUGUAUUAUGCGCUCAAAUAGCACAUCUCUCUGGCUAUUGGGGGUAUUUUGGCUUCAAAUCUCUAUCUAUCUAUGA